RNAcentral lists this ribosomal RNA (301 nucleotides) under uncultured bacterium. RNAcentral's name for it is "partial 16S ribosomal RNA". It matches the Rfam family "Bacterial small subunit ribosomal RNA", at positions 509 to 807 of the family's 1533-position model. The record is from RNAcentral.
CAGCAGCCGCGGGAAUACGGAGGGGGCUAGCGUUGUUCGGAAUUACUGGGCGUAAAGCGCACGUAGGCGGCUUGGUAAGUUAGAGGUGAAAGCCCAGGGCUCAACCCUGGAAUUGCCUUUAAGACUGCCGAGCUAGUAGGUGAGAGAGGUGAGUGGAAUUCCGAGUGUAGAGGUGAAAUUCGUAGAUAUUCGGAAGAACACCAGUGGCGAAGGCGGCUCACUGGCUCAUUCUAGACGCUGAGGUGCGAAAGCGCGGGGAGCAAACAGGAUUAGAUACCCCGGUAGUCCCUGUCUCUUAUAC